This 83-nucleotide transfer RNA is filed under the name Calditrichota bacterium. RNAcentral's name for it is "Calditrichaeota bacterium (activated sludge metagenome) tRNA-Tyr". It matches the Rfam family "tRNA". From Rfam's summary of the family: Transfer RNA (tRNA) molecules are approximately 80 nucleotides in length. Lineage: Bacteria; Pseudomonadati; Calditrichota. The record is from RNAcentral. RNAcentral also lists the same sequence under 1 other name.
GGGGAGGUAGCGAAGUGGCUAAACGCAGCAGACUGUAAAUCUGCCCUCUGAUGAGUUCGGUGGUUCGAAUCCGCCCCUCCCCA